This 283-nucleotide unclassified non-coding RNA is filed under the name plant metagenome. Its description in RNAcentral is "partial contains small subunit ribosomal RNA, internal transcribed spacer 1, and 5.8S ribosomal RNA". The stretch from base 235 to 283 matches the Rfam family "5.8S ribosomal RNA", at positions 1 to 49 of the family's 154-position model. The record is from RNAcentral.
UUUCCGUAGGUGAACCUGCGGAAGGAUCAUUAUUGUAUAACCGAGGUGCGAGGGCUGUCGCUGACCCGAAAGGUCGUGCACGCCCGAGUGCCCUCACACGCAUCCAUCUCACCCCUAUGUGCACCACCGCGUGGGUCCCCCUUUGGCUUGUUCGGAGGGGGGCUUACGUUUUCACACAAACUUUGUAUGCAGUGUAGAAUGUAUUUUUUGUUUUUGCGAUCACGCAAUCAAUACAACUUUCAACAACGGAUCUCUUGGCUCUCGCAUCGAUGAAGAUCGCAGC